AAUGGAGUCAUUUGGGAGAUGGAGGCACAAAGAUCAAAGUCCAUGGUCAUUCUUGUCUACAUAGCAAACAUGAGGGCAGAAACACAAAGAGCCUCAGUUGACAAGAGAAGAGGAAGCAAGAGUAGAACCACAAAUGCAUCUUGACCUUCAUCUGUCAACCUGGAUCUUUGUGCCUAUCAAGAAUGGAAUUGCCA
Mastomys coucha (southern multimammate mouse) is the source of this 194-nucleotide long non-coding RNA. RefSeq lists it as uncharacterized. NCBI's taxonomy places the organism in Eukaryota, Metazoa, Chordata, Mammalia, Rodentia, Muridae. The record is from RefSeq and is a predicted model, not a curated record. The transcript has 3 exons.